RNAcentral lists this unclassified non-coding RNA (372 nucleotides) under uncultured fungus. RNAcentral describes it as "partial contains small subunit ribosomal RNA, internal transcribed spacer 1, and 5.8S ribosomal RNA". The stretch from base 1 to 73 matches the Rfam family "Eukaryotic small subunit ribosomal RNA", at positions 1759 to 1831 of the family's 1831-position model. Lineage: Eukaryota; Fungi. The record is from RNAcentral.
GCAAACUUGGUCAUUUAGAGGAAGUAAAAGUCGUAACAAGGUUUCCGUAGGUGAACCUGCGGAAGGAUCAUUAUUGAAUAAUUUGCCUUGAUGGGUUGUCGCUGGCCUCUUGAGGCAUGUGCACGCCUGUCUUGACUCUAUUCAUCCACCUGUGCACUUAUUGUAGUUUCUUAUUCUCUGGAUGUGAAGACUGCCUUUCUAGGCUUUCUUCUGGUUAGCCUUGUGCUUUAUCAGAGACUGAGGGGCUAUGUUUCUUAUCAUAAACCAAGUAGUAUGUUUUCAGAAUGUAUUCAAUGGGCCAUUGUGCCUAUAUAAAUCUAUACAACUUUCAGCAACGGAUCUCUUGGCUCUCGCAUCGAUGAAGAACGCAGC